UCCCAGACUCCUACGGGCGGCCGCAGUGGGUCCUCUUGCACAAUGUUUUCCACCCUGAUUCCUCUACGCCGCGUGCUUGAAGAAGUCCUUCGUUAUGUAACUCUCUCUCAGCAGGGCCGCCAAUGACGGUCCCUGAGUAAGACGCCCCGGCUAACUCCGUGCCAGCAGCCGCGGUCCUAAGUAGGGGGCCCGCGUUAUCCGGAUUUACGGGGGGGAAAGGGAGCGUAGACGGCAGUGCAAGUCUGGAGUGAAAGGCGGGGGCUCAACCCCAGGACUGCGCGGGAAACUGUACGGCUGGAGGGCAGGAGAGGUAAGGGGAAUUCCUAGGGGAGCGGUGAAAUGCGGAGAUAUUAGGAGGAACACCAGUGGAGAAGGAGGCUUACGGGACGGUAACUGACGGGGAGGCGCGAAAGCGGGGGGAGCAAACAGGAGUAGAUACCCCGGUAU
Molecule: ribosomal RNA, 447 nt
Filed under: uncultured bacterium
Lineage: Bacteria
Description: bacterial SSU rRNA
Rfam family: Bacterial small subunit ribosomal RNA
Source: RNAcentral